RNA transcript from Oryza sativa Japonica Group (Japanese rice), 3850 nucleotides. RefSeq lists it as uncharacterized. Lineage: Eukaryota; Viridiplantae; Streptophyta; Magnoliopsida; Poales; Poaceae. The record is from RefSeq and is a predicted model, not a curated record.
ACCCAGGAGGUGCAUGCAGUUUCAGUCAGAGUUAUAGAGGAGAGAAGAAGAGAUAAUACCAAGUUAGAGAUGACAAAGCAUGGCAGCUCCAGUUUUGGUGGUGCUCUGUCCCUUUGCAAGGUGAUCUUGAUGGUCCUCGCCCUCAUCUGCACCCUGCACACUGCCUCCGUGCAAGGAGGUAAAAUACACUUCUAAUCCCUCAGGGUCGAUCUCUUUACAGCAGGGGCGGCUCCAGCAGGUAGUCCGGGUGGUCCUUGGACCACCCUGGAUUUUGGCCCACGAGGACCCCCCCCCCCCGACGGCCCAAAUCAAAAAAGCCCACCACAGGCGCUAGGGUUAGGAUGACAGAGGAGAGGCGCACCGCGUAGGGACACCCGCCGCUCCGCUUCGCUUCUGUCUCGUCUCCGCCUCUCCCGAGUCCCGAUUCUCCACUCCUCGCCUCGUCGCAUCCUCGUCCUCUCGCUCUGCGGCUGCGGCAGGCGCCAGCGCCGGCGGCCAUCGCCUGUACGCCUGCAGGAGCAGGACUGCAGGAGGCGGGCGACAGCCCGUCGGCCGCCCGGGCCCGACGUGGGCGUGCGGCACCAUCCCGGCCGGCGGCGGCUAGCCGGCCACCAUUUUGCCCCGCCGCCCGGCCACCCCUCACGGCAGCGACGACGCACCGGAGUCGGGUCCCUCUCCUUCCAGCCUCCUGCUCGACGAGUCACGAGUAGACGGCUUUGCUUGCUCCGGCCUCCAGUGCCCUGCCCCCCUGCUGCUGCCUGCCCCUCUGUGAAAGAACUGAAGAGUGAAGACCGAGAUGUGAGACAUGAAAAGGAAUGGAGACAUUGCAUCGCUUUUUCGGAAACAUGAAGCAAAGGCGAAGAAGAGGGCAGAUCUUAUUGAUGAGGAAGCUCAAAUUGAAGAAGAGGAGCCACCACUAGUUGAGCCACAUCCUGUGCCAACUCCAGUUGUUGAGGCAACAAAUGAAGAGCAAGAUGCACCUCCAGAGUAUGAUGCUGAUCAUCUUCAAUAUGAUCCAGGACUGAGGUCCCCUAUUGCGAGCUAUGAUGUCAAUGAACAAGACGCAGUUCGGCGUGCAUAUAUUCUGAAAGGCCCAAACCAAUGUUAUGCACAUGAUUUCCCAGUCAGGGAAAUUUAUGGUAAGAAGCGCCACUUCAAUUUUGUUUGGUUUCAUAAGUACCAAUGGCUUGAAUAUAGUGUAGCAAAGGAUGCUGGGUUUUGCAUGGUAUGUUACUUGUUUGGUAGUGGAACUAGUAAUUUUGUUACGGAUGGUUGGAGAAAUUGGAACAAAGCCGAUGCACUUGACAAACAUGUGGGGGGUAUAACAAGUGCUCACAAUAAAGCUCAAGAGAAAUACAACCUAUUUGUAAGUGGUGGUCCUUCAAUAGAUAAUGUCAUUGUGAAGGUGUCAAAUGAAAGUGAAAUUCACUAUAAGGCUAGGUUGACAUAUUCACUUAGAUGUUUGAGAUAUCUUUUAAAUCAAGGAUUGGCAUUUCGUGGACAUGAUGAAAGUGAAGAAUCUAGUAACCGAGGGAAUUUUAUUGAACUUUUGAAAUGGCUUGCUGAAAAUAAUAAAGAAGUUGAUCGGUUGGUGUUGAAAAAUGCUCCUGGAAAUUGCAUCUUGACUUGUUCUAGUAUACAAAGGGAAAUUAUCCAUUGUUGUGCUGAUGAGACUACUAAGCGCAUCAUUGAAGAACUUGGUGAUGAUCAUUAUGCAAUUCUUGCUGAUGAGUGUAGUGACCUUUCACAUAAGGAACAACUUGCUCUUUGUGUGCGGUAUAUUGACAAACUUGGAAGAGUAUGUGAACGGUUCCUUGGAGUAGUCCAUGUAGCUAGUACCACUUCUGCUGCACUUAAGAAGGCAAUUCUAACUUUGCUUAGUGAUCAUCACUUGAGUCCUUCUCAAAUUCGUGGUCAAGGAUAUGAUGGGGCUAGUAACAUGAAAGGGAAGAUUAAUGGGCUGAAAACAUUGAUCAUGAAAGAGUCUCCUUCAGCUUAUUACAUCCACUGUUUUGCACAUCAACUUCAAUUAGUUCUUGUUUCUGUUGCCAAGGGAAAUGAUGAUUGCGUAUGGUUUUUUACUCAAGUUUCUCACUUACUGAAUAUUGUUGGUACUUCUUGUAAGCGUCAUGACAUGCUUAGAGAUGUUAGAGCUCAAAAGAUUAUGGAAGCACUUGAAUUGGGUGAAAUAGAAAGUGGGGUUGGAUUAAAUCAAGAGAUGGGAUUGGCUAGGCCAGGUGAUACUAGAUGGGGUUCUCAUUACAAAACAAUAUUGCAUAUUAUUGGUAUGUACCCCACAAUUCAUGAGGUGCUCAUAACUCUUGGAAAAGACCCCACACAAAGAGAUGAUUGGCCAAGAAUACAUGCUGUGGUUGGAGCUUUUGAAUCAUUUGAUUUUGUUUUUAGUGCACAUUUGAUGCUUGUCAUUCUUGGAUAUACAAAUGAGUUGUGUUUGUGCUUGCAAAAGAGAGACCAAGAUAUUGUUAAUGCAAUGUCACUUGUAACUUUGGCCAAGGAAAGAAUGCAAAAAUUAAGAUCUGAAGGAUGGGAAGAAUUUUUUCAAGGAACUGUUGUUUCAUUUUGCAAUAAACAUAGUAUCCAAGUUCCAACCUUAGAUGGAAAAUAUGUGCCACAUGGAAGAUCUCCACGGUUUUAUCCGGACCAAACAAAUGAUGAUCAUUUUAGAAGAGAAGUGUACAUUGGUGUGAUUGAUAAAAUUAGCCAAGAGCUCAAUAGUAGGUUUGAUGAGGUUAAUAUGGAAUUGCUCAUUUGCAUGUCAGCAUUGAAUCCAUUCAAUUCAUUUGCCUCUUAUGAUGCACAACAAGUACUUAAGCUUGCCAAGUUUUAUCCAAAAGAGUUUUCAACCAUGGAUUUGAUCAGACUAGAAAUGCAACUUGGGACUUUUAUUGAUGAUAUGAGAAGAGAUGAAAGGUUCAAAGGCCUAGAAACUCUUGCUGAGCUCUCUAUUAAACUUGUUGAAACAAACAAGCAUGUUCUUUAUGAUUGGGUCUAUUUACUUCUCAAGUUGGUAUUGAUAUUACCUGUAGCAACAGCAAGUGUUGAGAGGGUGUUUUCUGCAUUGAGUGUAGUGAAGAGCAAGCUGAGAAAUAGUAUGUGUGACAAAUUAUUGAAUGAUUGUUUAAUCACAUUUAUUGAGCGGGAUGUCUUCUCUCAAGUUAGCGAAGAAGACAUUAAAAAGAAUUUCAUGUCUAUGAAGACCCGGCGAGUAGAAAAGAAGUAGUGUAUUAUAAUCUUCUACCUAAAUAUUGACCACCCAACGAUUCGAUCCUGGAGCCGCCACUGCUUUACAGUGGUCUGAUCUCUCUAUCGGUAGUAUUACACUAUCGGUAUUGUCAAUGAAGGUAGCUCCCGGGGAGAGCGGCUGCGGCAAUUGGUGGGGGUGGGAAGGGUUCAGUAUUGGAUCCAACCUACACGCCGCCGACGACCCCCGGCGGGUCUUACACCGGCGGCCGGGGAUGCCGCGGACCCUACAGAUGCCCUCCUGGAGCAGGCUCGCCAUGACCAUGACCCACACUCCAUCUCUCUGCUACAUACAGUGCUACUGCAUGAUCGAAGACCAUAUCGAUCUCGAUCUCAUUAUCUAAAAUUAAAGUAUCGAUCUCGAUCUACUCAUGUCGAUCGAUGCUAUGCCUAUAUAUACAAACAAAUAAAUAAACCAGCAGGCAUCUAACGCAGAUCGAUGGAUCGAGUAGGUGUCUUUUAAUUCCUCUGUAUGCGUUCCAUAUUGGAGUAUAUAUAAAAGUAGUAUCUGCUCAGUGUGAUGUGUGCAGUGAACGUGAGGCAGCAGCAGCAUAUCUGCAUAUGUGAUAUGUAGUAUGACUGUUACGUA